This 49-nucleotide transfer RNA is filed under the name Homopholis mulleri. RNAcentral describes it as "partial tRNA-Leu". Lineage: Eukaryota; Metazoa; Chordata; Lepidosauria; Squamata; Gekkonidae. The record is from RNAcentral.
CUUUCAAAGGACAGCAGUGAUUCCACUAGCCUUAGGCGCUAUUACCCCU